This is a long non-coding RNA of Mytilus californianus (California mussel), 110 nucleotides long. RefSeq lists it as uncharacterized. The transcript is spliced from 2 exons. The record is from RefSeq and is a predicted model, not a curated record. NCBI's taxonomy places the organism in Eukaryota, Metazoa, Mollusca, Bivalvia, Mytilida, Mytilidae.
UGCAAAAUGUCCUUAAAAUUACCAAUUCAGGGGCAGCAACCCAACAACAGAUUGUCAGAUUUGUCUAAAAAUUUCAGGGCAGAUAGAUCUUGACCUGAUAAUCAGUUUUA